RNAcentral lists this ribosomal RNA (735 nucleotides) under uncultured bacterium. RNAcentral's name for it is "bacterial SSU rRNA". It matches the Rfam family "Bacterial small subunit ribosomal RNA", at positions 28 to 776 of the family's 1533-position model. The record is from RNAcentral.
GACGAACGCUGGCGGCGCUCCCAACACAUGCAAGUCGAACGAGCGAGAGAGAGCUUGCUUUCUCAAGCGAGUGGCGAACGGGUGAGUAACGCGUGAGGAACCUGCCUCAAAGAGGGGGACAACAGUUGGAAACGACUGCUAAUACCGCAUAAGCCCACAGGUCGGCAUCGACCAGAGGGAAAAGGAGCAAUCCGCUUUGAGAUGGCCUCGCGUCCGAUUAGCUAGUUGGUGAGGUAACGGCCCACCAAGGCGACGAUCGGUAGCCGGACUGAGAGGUUGAACGGCCACAUUGGGACUGAGACACGGCCCAGACUCCUACGGGAGGCAGCAGUGGGGAAUAUUGCACAAUGAGGGAAACCCUGAUGCAGCGACGCCGCGUGGAGGAAAAAGGUCUUCGGAUUGUAAACUCCUGUUGUUGAGGAAGAUAAUGACGGUACUCAACAAGGAAGUGACGGCUAACUACGUGCCAGCAGCCGCGGUAAAACGUAGGUCACAAGCGUUGUCCGGAAUUACUGGGUGUAAAGGGAGCGCAGGCGGGAAGACAAGUUGGAAGUGAAAUCUAUGGGCUCAACCCAUAAACUGCUAUCAAAACUGUUUUUCUUGAGUAGUGCAGAGGUAGGCGGAAUUCCCGGUGUAGCGGUGGAAUGCGUAGAUAUCGGGAGGAACACCAGUGGCGAAGGCGGCCUACUGGGCACCAACUGACGCUGAGGCUCGAAAGUGUGGGUAGCANACAGG